This 445-nucleotide ribosomal RNA is filed under the name uncultured bacterium. RNAcentral describes it as "bacterial SSU rRNA". It matches the Rfam family "Bacterial small subunit ribosomal RNA", at positions 354 to 796 of the family's 1533-position model. The record is from RNAcentral.
GUGAGGAAUAUUGCGCAAUGGAGGCAACUCUGACGCAGCCAUGCCGCGUGCAGGAAGAAGGCGCUACGCGUUGUAAACUGCUUUUAACCGGGAAGAAACCCCAGGACGUGUCCUGGGUUGACGGUACCGGAGGAAUAAGCACCGGCUAACUUCGUGCCAGCAGCCGCGGUAAUACGAAGGGUGCAAGCGUUAUCCGGAUUCAUUGGGUUUAAAGGGUGCGUAGGCGGAGCGUUAAGUCAGUGGUGAAAUCCUGCAGCUUAAAUGUAGACUUGCCAUUGAUACUGGCGCUCUUGAGUGCGCUUGAAGUGGGCGGAAUGUGCCGUGUAGCGGUGAAAUGCUUAGAUAUGGCACAGAACACCAAUUGCGAAGGCAGCUCACUAAGGCGAUACUGACGCUGAGGCACGAAAGCGUGGGGAUCGAACAGGAUUAGAAACCCUAGUAGUCC